CACCAAAACACAAACCCUAACCUGCCCAUUUCCAUUACACAAUCCAAACUCCAUCCCAUCUCCACCACACAGGCCCAAGAUUAAAAAUAUCCAAAUCACCCAUUACUCAAUCUACCCAAUCUCAUUAUCACUUAAACCUAACUACCCAAUUUCAUUAUCACUUGACCCAUUUCAACAUAGCCUUUACCCAGCCCAUAUAAUCAACCCAAUACCCAAACCACCCAGAACCUAAAUAUCUCCUCCACAUCGGCGACUUCGCUACAAGCCAGCGACCAUCCAACCGCAAUUCGUACGAUGUUCCCCACGUCGGCGACCCACUUCACAGCCAUCGCUGGCAACCCACCAAUCGCCACACAACACCUUCUCUGACCUCCAUCCCUGCUUCGUUGUGCCGCUUCCCUUGCAACCACCUUUCGUCGCCAACUGCCAGCAAUCCACUGCCACGUCAGCAUCACACAUCUCUCAGUUGUAUCAAUGUUUUGCUCCACUGCCCAAAGCCAACACAGAAUCGCUUAAUCACCACGCAACCACAUCAAACACAGCCUUCAUUCUGCGUUGCUAUAGUUUUUUUCAUCGCUGCUACUUUGGAAGAAUUGCCGGUGAUUUUGGAGUUUGAUUUUGCCUUAAUUUCACACUGGUGGACUUCUUCAGAGUUCGAAUUGCCAAGGACAUUUGUUGAAUUUGAUUUGGCCUAUUAUUUGCGUUGGGUGCAUCUUGUUAAAACUCUCAAAGAUUAAUGAUCUAUUCAGCUACUCGAUUGCUCAAGAGUAUUCCAUUACAAUAAUCCACUGGAGACGUGCCAACUUGAAAAUCAUAUUUUGUACACAGUUUUAUUCUUUUGAGUCUCGUGAGUACAUCGUCUGCAACUUCAAGCUCAUGAUCGCCUCUACAAGUCAACAACAGAGAGUCGUUGUUCUCUAUUUAUCUAUAGUUCGUCUGCAACUUCAAGCUCAUGAUCGCCUCUACAAGUCAACAACAGAGAGUCGUUGUUCUCUAUUUAUCUAUAGUUUAUACUACUUGAUGAGGACAUCACUUGUUUGGGCUAGCUUAUUUUUUUGUGGAUCAUUUGCUAUUGUUUUAUUUCAUUUGUCUUGUAUUAUUGGGUUUGACCUAGGCCCACUUACUUUUUAGGUUAAUUGGUUUAUUUAUUUAUAAGACUUGAUAAUGUAUUUCAAAGAGACCAUGAGGAAUUAGAUUGGAAGUUGUUUUAGCUUGUAGCUGUUUCUUCCUUCCCUUCCCUGGUCUAUCCACUUUCUUCCCCCCUUUCUCUCCUUUUCUUACUGCCCUCUUCUUCGUUUUUUUGGUAGAAUUUUUGUUCUUCUUGUGCUACACUGCUGCAGGAAUCAUCCCACUUAUCCUGCAUAUUUCACCAUCACUUCCAGUCCCCCGCCGCCUUCUCUGCCUCUAUUUCAACCGCUACAACGCCAAUCCAAACAUUUCUCCUAGCACACAACCCAUCAUUAUAGCCACAUCUGAUUUCAACGAUCUUUCCACAACCCACUUCAACAGCAACUAUAACCACCCACAUAUAAAACAGCCCACUACCCAAAAUUUUCCUUCACAACAAACUCUGAUCCAAACCUCCUCCACAACCCUUUCACUUGUUGCAACCGUCGAUCUUCACCUACCCACGUCACCACAUCGUCCACUACCGCAAGCCCCAUACACAGAAAAUCAAAGCCGAUCCCAAAAGGCACACACCAUCGCUGCUGUACCUUUACUCUACCAGUUAACGCCUUUCCACCUCCCCUAACGCCGACGACCCAAAAUCGACCCACUGUCUCCCAAAUUUCGAACCACUGCGACGCCAAUCAUUGCCAACACUAGCCGUUCUCUGUCGCUGACAACCAAAGUCCAUCAACCGUUGCUGCUACCUAUUUUUAUAGAUAAGGUUGCAAAUAUUGGGGUCGUUGCACGUGUGAAAAGAGGAGUUAUUUCAAGCCCUAUUUGGCUACUGUGAUUCUAAAGUUUUGUUUGGGCUUCAGUAUAUAGCUUGUUUUUAGUUUUGUUUAGGCCACUGUUUAUAUUCCUAUUUUUGGCUCAUUUUUUUAGUUAGG
Molecule: long non-coding RNA, 2057 nt
Filed under: Olea europaea subsp. europaea
Lineage: Eukaryota; Viridiplantae; Streptophyta; Magnoliopsida; Lamiales; Oleaceae
Source: RNAcentral